UGGGGAAUAUUGCACAAUGGGCGAAAGCCUGAUGCAGCGACGCCGCGUGAGGGAUGACGGCCUUCGGGUUGUAAACCUCUUUCAGCAGGGAAGAAGCGAAAGUGACGGUACCUGCAGAAGAAGCGCCGGCUAACUACGUGCCAGCAGCCGCGGUAAUACGUAGGGCGCAAGCGUUGUCCGGAAUUAUUGGGCGUAAAGAGCUCGUAGGCGGUUAGUCGCGUCUGCUGUGAAAAUCUCGAGGCUCAACCCUCGGGCUUGCAGUGGGUACGGGCUGACUAGAGUGCGGUAGGGGGUGACUGGAAUUCCUGGUGUAGCGGUGGAAUGCGCAGAUAUCAGGAGGAACACCGAUGGCGAAGGCAGGUCACUGGGCCGCAACUGACGCUGAGGAGCGAAACGCAUGGGG
This 403-nucleotide ribosomal RNA is filed under the name uncultured bacterium. RNAcentral describes it as "partial 16S ribosomal RNA". It matches the Rfam family "Bacterial small subunit ribosomal RNA", at positions 355 to 766 of the family's 1533-position model. The record is from RNAcentral.